UACAGAGGGUGCGAGCGUUGUUCGGAAUUAUUGGGCGUAAAGGGCGCGUAGGCGGUGCGGUAAGUCACCUGUGAAAUCUCCCGGCUUAACUGGGAGCCUGCAGGCGAAACUACCGUGCUGGAGUAUGGGAGAGGUGCGUGGAAUUCCCGGUGUAGCGGUGAAAUGCGUAGAUAUCGGGAGGAACAUCAGUGGCGAAGGCGGCUGCCUGGCCCAAUACUGACACUCAGGUGCGACAGCGUGGGGAGCAAACAGG
RNAcentral lists this ribosomal RNA (253 nucleotides) under uncultured prokaryote. Its description in RNAcentral is "partial 16S ribosomal RNA". It matches the Rfam family "Bacterial small subunit ribosomal RNA", at positions 524 to 776 of the family's 1533-position model. The record is from RNAcentral.